This 440-nucleotide ribosomal RNA is filed under the name uncultured bacterium. RNAcentral's name for it is "partial 16S ribosomal RNA". It matches the Rfam family "Bacterial small subunit ribosomal RNA", at positions 338 to 795 of the family's 1533-position model. The record is from RNAcentral.
CCUACGGGAGGCAGCAGUGGGGGAUAUUGCACAAUGGGGGGAACCCUGAUGCAGCGACGCCGCGUGGGUGAAGAAGCGCCUCGGCGCGUAAAGCCCUGUCAGCAGGGACGAAAAUGACGGUACCUGAAGAAGAAGCCCCGGCUAACUACGUGCCAGCAGCCGCGGUAAUACGUAGGGGGCAAGCGUUAUCCGGAUUUACUGGGGGUAAAGGGGGCGCAGGCGGCGAUGUAAGCCAGUGGUGAAAUACCGGGGCCCAACCCCGGGACUGCACUUGGAACUGGGUGGCUGGAGUGCAGGAGGGGCAAACGGAAUUCCUGGUGUAGCGGUGAAAUGCGUAGAUAUCAGGAGGAACACCAGUGGCGAAGGCGACCUGCUGGACUGCAACUGACGUUGAGGCCCGAAAGCGUGGGGAGCAAACAGGAUUAGAUACCCUAGUAGUC